This 209-nucleotide unclassified non-coding RNA is filed under the name Bombus terrestris (buff-tailed bumblebee). Its description in RNAcentral is "misc RNA ENSBTSG00005021337.1". The record is from RNAcentral. Lineage: Eukaryota; Metazoa; Arthropoda; Insecta; Hymenoptera; Apidae.
UGCAAAGAAAAAGCAUUCAAGAGUUUUCAUCAUUUUUAUCAAAUGUCUAUCGAAAUUCAACAAACAGGAUUAUUAACGAAAUAUUAUCUCGUAUUCUUACUUCUUGAAUAUUUCGUAGCCAGUAGGAUAAAUGAUUGAAACUUUCUAAGCUAGUGACGUCAUACAUCAGAAGGAUACCCAUGGCACCGCGAUAAUAAGCUGUUGUUAGC